UAUUAAAAAUUCUAUCUAUUUUUACUGUUAAAAGUUAGUGUUUGGAUGAUGAAAUAGCUAAAUAGUUGGCGUACUACAUGUAUUUUAUGCUAACAUACAUAGAUAAAUUUUUAACAGUAAAAAUGAAUAGAAUUGUUAUUA
Gossypium raimondii (Peruvian cotton) is the source of this 141-nucleotide non-coding RNA. Lineage: Eukaryota; Viridiplantae; Streptophyta; Magnoliopsida; Malvales; Malvaceae. The record is from Rfam.